AACUUUGUCCAAAAGUUUCCCUCACUAUAGACAGUACGUGGGUUGCUAUUUUAAAAAUAUUUCAAUGCAACUAUUCAUCGUGAUAAGUGACGGGAUAUAUUAACCCAACUUUAGCCAUUCAUAUAAGAACCUAUGUGGAAUGUGUAUCGUCAAGAUAUGAUAUGAUACAUGGGUGUCAGAGAGUGUCAACAUUU
This 194-nucleotide small nucleolar RNA is filed under the name Maudiozyma saulgeensis. Lineage: Eukaryota; Fungi; Ascomycota; Saccharomycetes; Saccharomycetales; Saccharomycetaceae. The record is from RNAcentral.